Molecule: ribosomal RNA, 119 nt
Organism: Cebus imitator (Panamanian white-faced capuchin)
Lineage: Eukaryota; Metazoa; Chordata; Mammalia; Primates; Cebidae
Source: Ensembl
GUUUACAGCCAUACCAACCUGAACUCACCUGAUCUCGUCUCAUCUCAGAAGCUAAGCAGGGUCAGGCCUGGUUAGUACUUAGAUGGGAGAAUAUGUAAGUAAAGAUGUCAUUAUAUGGU